Molecule: ribosomal RNA, 456 nt
Filed under: uncultured bacterium
Lineage: Bacteria
Description: bacterial SSU rRNA
Rfam family: Bacterial small subunit ribosomal RNA
Source: RNAcentral
GACGAACGCUGGCGGCGUGCCUAACACAAUGCAAGUCGAACGAAGCAUAGCAAUAUGCUUAGUGGCGGACGGGUGAGUAACGCGUGAACAAUCUGCCCUGUACAAAGGAAUAGCCUCGGGAAACCGGGAUUAAAACCGUAUGACACUUUAGUAUCGCAUGAUAAGAAAGUCAAAUCGAAUAGAGGUAUGGGAUGAGUUCGCGUCUGAUUAGCUGGUUGGCGGGGUAACGGCCCACCAAGGCGACGAUCAGUAGCCGGCCUGAGAGGGUGAACGGCCACACUGGAACUGAGACACGGUCCAGACUCCUACGGGAGGCAGCAGUGGGGAAUAUUGCACAAUGGAGGGAACUCUGAUGCAGCGACGCCGCGUGAGUGAAGAAGGUCUUCGGAUCGUAAAACUCUGUCCUUGGUGAAGAAAAGGACGGUAGCCAAGGAGGAAGCCCCGGCUAACUACGUG